Molecule: non-coding RNA, 2239 nt
Organism: Microcebus murinus (gray mouse lemur)
Lineage: Eukaryota; Metazoa; Chordata; Mammalia; Primates; Cheirogaleidae
Source: RefSeq, a predicted model, not a curated record
GUGUUACACCUGAGAGGGAAGGAAGAGGAAAGUGGGACGUGACUGUGGAACGGAAGCUGGCGUGAUGCUGGGACAUCAGCCCUAGGCCCCUGCGACGACCUUUCCUGGGAUCUUGACCCUUUUAGGAAAGCCACUCACUUGUUUCAGGAAGAAAGCAAGACCACCAGGGACCGUCAACCGUCACCACGACUGAAAGACAUACCCCACAAUAUGAACUUGACCCUAGACCAAAGCUCCCAGGACCCCUACAGAUGGGGAAGCUGAGGCUUGGAAGACUGUGGCUUGACCAAGUUCCCAGAGCUUGUAAGUGGAAGAGCCAAGGUUCAAAGCCAGUGUUGAAGCUGUCCACAUUGCUUUCGUUGAACGAUAUGGGUGUCUUAGACUGUUUAGUGUUGCUGUAACAGAAUACCUGAGGCUGGAAAGUCUAUAACAACAACAAAAGAAGAGAUUUGCUUGGCUCGCAACUCUGAUGGCUGGAAAGUUCGUGGUGUGGUUGGUGCCUGUUUCCACUGGUGGAGGAAGGCGGGAGGGGAGAGAGCCUGUGCAGAGAUCACAUGGCAAGGAAGGAAACAAGAAAGAGAGAGAGACCAAGGAAACCAGACUCUAUUAAGCAACUCACUCCUGUGGGACCUAAUUUAGUCCCUGCAGGACCUAAUUCAGUCCCUGCAGGGUGGCAAGACGUUAAUCUGUCUAUGCGGGAUCCACCCCCAUGACCGCAAUACCUCUCGCUAGGCCCCACCUUCCAACACCAACACCAUCCCAUUGGGGAUCAAAUUUCAGCAUGGAUUUCAUAGGGGGCAAACCAUACCCAAACCACAGCAAUGGAUAGUGGGUUCGAUCCCAUUUUGGGUAUAGUGGAACUUGUAGUAGAUUAAGGUAGGAACCAGAUGAAUAUUUGGUGGAAGCCCCCAUAUGGAGAACACUCUCCUCGGGAUUACCCAAAGCCCCCUCCCAUGAGCAGUUCUGCCUGCCUGGUGAUGCACCUGUCUAAGACCUCACCACCAAUGAGUGGGUUUUCUUUGCACUUUCCCUCGAUGCCUACAUCAGGUCUCUGAUGUAACUGGGAUGGGUAGAGGAGGGUUGCUUCAGACUCCUGUCUUCUCUCCCUAAAGCCAUCCAUGGGGGGAGCGGUGGUCAAAAUCUACCCUAAUCUGAAGGGUCUACAGGAGAGGAAUGCUUCUCACGAGAAAACUUCAGCAGCACUUGGGAGUAAGCCACAGCGGAAGAGAGUCAAAGGGACUCUCUUCUGUCUAAAGCUAUGCAAAUCGGUGGUUUGCCCUCCAAACACGAGUGUUUAUCUCAGUUUCCUUUUUCGGCUGAUUGAGCGAUCAGAAAGCAGAGAGGUGGUGACCCCCAGCUGCACUCUGCCUCUCAGAAACUUCGGUAUUUUGACUCCACCACCUGCUUUUAACAGAGAAAGUCAAGAGCCUCAGUCUGCCUGGCCCCUUGCACGGUUCCGAGAAUGCCCUCCCACCCUGUGCCCAGACUUUUCUUUGUACCAAAGUUGACUUCUGGCUGCCAACUCAGGCUUUCUUGGAGCCAAAAAGCAGAGACCACUCUCCCUACCCUCUGGAAAAUGAAGCACACAGCUGAAUUUAAUAUUAGUGUUUAUCUGUAUCUUACUUAUUCUUACGAUCCAAGGGGGGCGCACAGUCAGGAUGUUAAUAUCUGCCAGGUUUGGAUGAACACUGGGUACUACUUUUGUCAUGUUACAGCCAAGAAACCAGGGCCAGGGAGAGAGAGGCAUUUGCCUAAGGUUACCUGGUUGGCCACUCGAAGGGCAUAUCUUGAAGUGUGCAGACACACGAGGAUUGGGACAACCUGUUAGCAAAGCUCAGAAAGCUCACCCCACCAUGCCGGGUGAUUGUACAGCAGCUGCAGUGGGUUCUUGCUUUCUCAGGCACUUUAUAUAUGUUAUCUCCAUCUUCAUAAAAAUAUCUAAGGCCACAGUGGUUUAUAUAUAUAUUUUUAAAGAAGUCACUGACCUAGUUAAAGAAUCUGAUGACAUCUAAAACUCUUUCCCUCAUAAAAAUACAUAUUCAAUUUUAAGGGCUCUUUAAGGAUCUGUGGACUCCAGGCUAAAAACCCCUGCUUCAGGUUAAAUAUUUUUGUUUUCCCCAUAUUGAAAAUGAUCCAAUGGAGGCUCAGAGAAGUUACAUGCUAUGCCUGUGCACGGCAAGAUAACAGGUGCCCUUAAAUACAGAUCAUUGGGCUCCUAAGCUCAAGUGGGUUUCUUCCC